Molecule: long non-coding RNA, 968 nt
Organism: Triticum aestivum (bread wheat)
Lineage: Eukaryota; Viridiplantae; Streptophyta; Magnoliopsida; Poales; Poaceae
Exons: 6
Source: RefSeq, a predicted model, not a curated record
UCGUCAUGGGCGGCGCCGUCGUCGGCAGGGCCGUGGUCCAGGCCUACCGCCAGGCAAUCGUCAAUUAUGAAGAUGUGUCCAUCCGGAGCCAUUAAAACAAUAUGCUACAUAUACUGGAGUAAUCCAUUGGAGUUUUUGCGAUGCUUGCUCUAUUCGGCUUUGAGUUCGAGUUCGCUAAUCUUGUAUUCUGUUUUCUCUGUAUUAAAUAAAGUGGUUGAGGAUAUUCAACAAAUUGGUGUCGCAGGUUCUCAGUUCAUGGAAUCAUUGGUUGGAUCUUCUUCCAAUGCCACAACACGUGGAUGGACACUGUAGAAAAAAUAUGUGAGCCGUUUUGCUGCAAUCUAUCCAUACUGCCCAGCGCAUGUUAUAGCAGCCAAUUAAUAGAAGCUAUAACUACAAAAGUAACAGCAGCCUGUUGGUACUCUUUUAUGAUGUCUACUUCCGACUGAAUAUUGGUCGGCAUUACAAAGCUAGGCACCUGAGCUAUUUACAGGAGGGGACCCGACCUUCUUCAUGUUCCGCGGUAGUGUCUUCCUUUGAUUCGUUCGUGCAACAAGGAGGGGACCUGGCCUUCUUCACGUCUCGUGCAACAACGGUGAUGGACAUUGACUACGACAGCCUGGUGGGCGUUGUGCUCUUCAACCACUCAGAGGUGGACUUCGCCGUGAAGCCUGGCGACCGCGCCGCACGGAUGAUCAUCGAUGUGAUCGCGACGCCGGAUGUCGCCGAGGUGGAGGACCUCGAUGCCAUCGUUCAGGGUGUGAGGGAGGAUUUGGGUCCGCCGGCGUCUGAACUCCAAGCCUUGCUAGAUACAUGUAGAGAAGUGGUCUGUUUAGGCUGGUGGUGGAACAUUAGGGAAGGUACCCACCUUUGGUUGUGUGUGUUUAAUUUAUUUUGCACUGGACGUGUCCCUGAUUUCUAUCUAUGAAUAACGUAUGUAAUUUUUAUUUUUUUAAUUCAUAAUUUGU